RNAcentral lists this ribosomal RNA (261 nucleotides) under uncultured bacterium. Its description in RNAcentral is "partial 16S ribosomal RNA". It matches the Rfam family "Bacterial small subunit ribosomal RNA", at positions 337 to 590 of the family's 1533-position model. The record is from RNAcentral.
CCCUACGGGGCGCAGCAGUAGGGAAUCUUCCACAAUGGACGAAAGUCUGAUGGAGCAACGCCGCGUGAGUGAAGAAGGGUUUCGGCUCGUAAAGCUCUGUUGGUAGUGGAGAAAGAUAGAGGUAGUAACUGGCCUUUAUUUGACGGUAAUUACUUAGAAAGUCACGGCUAACUACGUGCCCGCAGCCGCGGUAAUACGUAGGGGGCAAGCGUUGUCCGGAUUUAUUGGGCGGAAAGCGAGGUCAGGCGGUAACAAUAGGCU